This 2918-nucleotide ribosomal RNA is filed under the name Acinetobacter baumannii. Its description in RNAcentral is "23S ribosomal RNA". It matches the Rfam family "Bacterial large subunit ribosomal RNA". The record is from RNAcentral. Lineage: Bacteria; Pseudomonadati; Pseudomonadota; Gammaproteobacteria; Moraxellales; Moraxellaceae.
GUUGUAUAGUCAAGUAAUUAAGUGCAUGUGGUGGAUGCCUUGGCAGUCAGAGGCGAUGAAAGACGUGAUAGCCUGCGAAAAGCUCCGGGGAGGCGGCAAAUAUCCUUUGAUCCGGAGAUGUCUGAAUGGGGGAACCCACCUACUUUAAGGUAGGUAUUGCAACAUGAAUACAUAGUGUUGCAAGGCGAACGAGGGGAAGUGAAACAUCUCAGUACCCUUAGGAAAAGAAAUCAAUUGAGAUUCCCUCAGUAGCGGCGAGCGAACGGGGAUCAGCCCAUUAAGUUAUGUGUGUUUUAGUGGAACGCUCUGGGAAGUGCGAACGUAGAGGGUGAUAUUCCCGUACACGAAAGGGCACACAUAAUGAUGACGAGUAGGGCGAGGCACGUGAAACCUUGUCUGAAUAUGGGGGGACCAUCCUCCAAGGCUAAAUACUCCUGACUGGCCGAUAGUGAACCAGUACCGUGAGGGAAAGGCGAAAAGAACCCCUGUGAGGGGAGUGAAAUAGAUCCUGAAACCGCAUGCAUACAAGCAGUGGGAGCACCUUCGUGGUGUGACUGCGUACCUUUUGUAUAAUGGGUCAGCGACUUAUAUUCAGUAGCGAGGUUAACCGUAUAGGGGAGCCGUAGAGAAAUCGAGUCUUAAUAGGGCGUUUAGUUGCUGGGUAUAGACCCGAAACCAGGCGAUCUAUCCAUGAGCAGGUUGAAGGUUGGGUAACACUAACUGGAGGACCGAACCCACUGUCGUUGAAAAGCCAGGGGAUGACUUGUGGAUAGGGGUGAAAGGCUAAUCAAGCCUGGUGAUAGCUGGUUCUCCCCGAAAGCUAUUUAGGUAGCGCCUCGGACGAAUACCAUAGGGGGUAGAGCACUGUUUCGGCUAGGGGGUCAUCCCGACUUACCAAACCGAUGCAAACUCCGAAUACCUAUGAGUACUAUCCGGGAGACAGACUGCGGGUGCUAACGUCCGUAGUCAAGAGGAAAACAAUCCAGACCGCCAGCUAAGGCCCCAAAAUCAUAGUUAAGUGGGAAACGAUGUGGGAAGGCAUAGACAGCUAGGAGGUUGGCUUAGAAGCAGCCACCCUUUAAAGAAAGCGUAAUAGCUCACUAGUCGAGUCGGCCUGCGCGGAAGAUGUAACGGGGCUAAAACUAUGUGCCGAAGCUGCGGAUGUAUACUUUGUAUACGUGGUAGGGGAGCGUUCUGUAAGCCGAUGAAGGUGUGUUGAGAAGCAUGCUGGAGGUAUCAGAAGUGCGAAUGCUGACGUGAGUAACGACAAAACGGGUGAAAAACCCGUUCGCCGAAAGACCAAGGGUUCCAGUCCAACGUUAAUCGGGGCUGGGUGAGUCGACCCCUAAGGCGAGGCCGAAAGGCGUAGUCGAUGGGAAAAUGGUUAAUAUUCCAUUACUUCUGUGUAAUGCGAUGAGAGGACGGAGAAGGCUAAAUCAGCCUGGCGUUGGUUGUCCAGGUGAAAGGAUGUAGGCAUGUAUCUUAGGCAAAUCCGGGGUACUCUAUGCUGAGAUCUGAUAGCAAGCUGUACUUGUACAGCGAAGUGGUUGAUGCCAUGCUUCCAGGAAAAGUCUCUAAGCUUCAGUUACACAGGAAUCGUACCCGAAACCGACACAGGUGGUCAGGUCGAGUAGACCAAGGCGCUUGAGAGAACUCUGCUGAAGGAACUAGGCAAAAUGGUACCGUAACUUCGGGAGAAGGUACGCUGUUGUUGGUGAUGGAACUCGCUUCCUGAGCUGACGACAGCCGCAGAAACCAGGCCGCUGCAACUGUUUAUUAAAAACAUAGCACUCUGCAAACACGAAAGUGGACGUAUAGGGUGUGAUGCCUGCCCGGUGCUGGAAGGUUAAUUGAUGGGGUUAGCGUAAGCGAAGCUCUUGAUCGAAGCCCCAGUAAACGGCGGCCGUAACUAUAACGGUCCUAAGGUAGCGAAAUUCCUUGUCGGGUAAGUUCCGACCUGCACGAAUGGCAUAAUGAUGGCGGCGCUGUCUCCAGCAGAGGCUCAGUGAAAUCGAAAUCGCUGUGAAGAUGCAGUGUACCCGCGGCUAGACGGAAAGACCCCGUGAACCUUUACUGCAGCUUGACACUGAACUUUGACCUUACUUGUGUAGGAUAGGUGGGAGGCUUUGAAGCUGGAACGCUAGUUCCAGUGGAGCCGUCCUUGAAAUACCACCCUGGUAAUGUUGAGGUUCUAACUCUGUCCCGUGAUCCGGGACGAGGACCGUGUCUGGUGGGUAGUUUGACUGGGGCGGUCUCCUCCUAAAGAGUAACGGAGGAGUACGAAGGUGCGCUCAGCGUGGUCGGAAAUCACGCGUAGAGUAUAAAGGCAAAAGCGCGCUUAACUGCGAGACCCACAAGUCGAGCAGGUACGAAAGUAGGUCUUAGUGAUCCGGUGGUUCUGUAUGGAAGGGCCAUCGCUCAACGGAUAAAAGGUACUCUGGGGAUAACAGGCUGAUACCGCCCAAGAGUUCAUAUCGACGGCGGUGUUUGGCACCUCGAUGUCGGCUCAUCUCAUCCUGGGGCUGAAGCAGGUCCCAAGGGUAUGGCUGUUCGCCAUUUAAAGAGGUACGCGAGCUGGGUUUAGAACGUCGUGAGACAGUUCGGUCCCUAUCUACCGUGGGCGCUGGAAAUUUGAGAGGAUCUGCUCCUAGUACGAGAGGACCAGAGUGGACGAACCUCUGGUGUACCGGUUGUGACGCCAGUCGCAUCGCCGGGUAGCUAUGUUCGGAAGGGAUAACCGCUGAAAGCAUCUAAGCGGGAAGCCUACCUCAAGAUAAGAUUUCCCUAGGACUUUAUGUCCUCUAAAGAGCCGUUCGAGACUAGGACGUUGAUAGGUUGGAUGUGGAAGCAUAGUGAUAUGUGAAGCUGACCAAUACUAAUUGCUCGUGAGGCUUGACUAUACAACACCCAAGCAGUUG